CCGCCCGCGGCGUGGGGCGCGCUCGCCAGCCCAGGGGUCGCCAUGACUGAGCGGCCCAGGCCCGAGCGAAGCCCGCGCGCGGUCACAUGGGAUCCUGACACCAUUUGGAGAUUCAGAGAAGUAUGAAGAGCACAAAGCACUUGGCUGCCCCCCCCCCGUGGGCCUCUUCCCAGCACUCCCUUUCUAUGACACUCAUGCAUCAUCCUGCAUCCCACGUUCCCUAUGCGUCAUGUCAUCUGUACAUCAUGUGUCUACUCCCCAUGGUCAUGUCAUGGUGUUGUGUACUGGACACAGUUGAAUACUCCCGUCACAUGAUGGGGAAGGCCCCUGAUUGCUGACUCUGCCCGCCUGCCACACUGGCUGUGUCCGGAGCCACUCGGGAUCCAGUCCACACACACCCCUCAGA
Molecule: long non-coding RNA, 406 nt
Filed under: Theropithecus gelada (gelada)
Lineage: Eukaryota; Metazoa; Chordata; Mammalia; Primates; Cercopithecidae
Description: lncRNA (ENSTGEG00000015599.1)
Source: RNAcentral